RNAcentral lists this ribosomal RNA (552 nucleotides) under Lacticaseibacillus paracasei. RNAcentral describes it as "bacterial SSU rRNA". It matches the Rfam family "Bacterial small subunit ribosomal RNA", at positions 911 to 1461 of the family's 1533-position model. The record is from RNAcentral. Lineage: Bacteria; Bacillati; Bacillota; Bacilli; Lactobacillales; Lactobacillaceae.
UGACGGGGGCCCGCACAAGCGGUGGAGCAUGUGGUUUAAUUCGAAGCAACGCGAAGAACCUUACCAGGUCUUGACAUCUUUUGAUCACCUGAGAGAUCAGGUUUCCCCUUCGGGGGCAAAAUGACAGGUGGUGCAUGGUUGUCGUCAGCUCGUGUCGUGAGAUGUUGGGUUAAGUCCCGCAACGAGCGCAACCCUUAUGACUAGUUGCCAGCAUUUAGUUGGGCACUCUAGUAAGACUGCCGGUGACAAACCGGAGGAAGGUGGGGAUGACGUCAAAUCAUCAUGCCCCUUAUGACCUGGGCUACACACGUGCUACAAUGGAUGGUACAACGAGUUGCGAGACCGCGAGGUCAAGCUAAUCUCUUAAAGCCAUUCUCAGUUCGGACUGUAGGCUGCAACUCGCCUACACGAAGUCGGAAUCGCUAGUAAUCGCGGAUCAGCACGCCGCGGUGAAUACGUUCCCGGGCCUUGUACACACCGCCCGUCACACCAUGAGAGUUUGUAACACCCGAAGCCGGUGGCGUAACCCUUUUAGGGAGCGAGCCGUCUAAG